GCCGGACCCCGCUCAUGCAGGGUGGCUCGGCCCGGCGCCUAUCCCCGGGAUAACC
Molecule: non-coding RNA, 55 nt
Filed under: Sphingopyxis macrogoltabida
Lineage: Bacteria; Pseudomonadati; Pseudomonadota; Alphaproteobacteria; Sphingomonadales; Sphingopyxidaceae
Description: sul1 RNA
Rfam family: sul1 RNA
Source: Rfam by way of RNAcentral